Molecule: ribosomal RNA, 253 nt
Filed under: uncultured bacterium
Lineage: Bacteria
Description: partial 16S ribosomal RNA
Rfam family: Bacterial small subunit ribosomal RNA
Source: RNAcentral
UACGAGGGGGGCAAGCGUUGUUCGGAAUUAUUGGGCGUAAAGGGUGCGUAGGCGGCCUUGUAAGUCAGUGCUGAAAUAUCCCGGCUUAACCGGGAGGGUGGCAUUGAUACUGCAGGGCUUGAGUAAAGUUGAGGUUGGCGGAAUUGACGGUGUAGCGGUGAAAUGCUUAGAUAUCGUCAAGAACACCGAUAGUGAAGACAGCUAACUAAGCUUUAACUGACGCUGAGGCACGAAAGUGUGGGGAUCAAACAGG